Molecule: ribosomal RNA, 501 nt
Filed under: uncultured bacterium
Lineage: Bacteria
Description: partial 16S ribosomal RNA
Rfam family: Bacterial small subunit ribosomal RNA
Source: RNAcentral
AUUGAACGCUGGCGGCAGGCUUAACACAUGCAAGUCGAGCGGGGGAAGGUAGCUUGCUACUGGACCUAGCGGCGGACGGGUGAGUAAUGCUUAGGAAUCUGCCUAUUAGUGGGGGACAACAUCUCGAAAGGGAUGCUAAUACCGCAUACGUCCUACGGGAGAAGGCAGGGGAUCUUCGGACCUCGCGCUAAUAGAUGAGCCUAAGUCGGAUUAGCUAGUUGGUGGGGUAAAGGCCUACCAAGGCGACGAUCUGUAGCGGGUCUGAGAGGAUGAUCCGCCACACUGGGACUGAGACACGGCCCAGACUCCUACGGGAGGCAGCAGUGGGGAAUAUUGGACAAUGGGGGGAACCCUGAUCCAGCCAUGCCGCGUGUGUGAAGAAGGCCUUAUGGUUGUAAAGCACUUUAAGCGAGGAGGAGGCUACUUUAGUUAAUACCUAGAGAUAGUGGACGUUACUCGCAGAAUAAGCACCGGCUAACUCUGUGCCAGCCGCCGCCGUAA